UCGAGGAUCUUCGGCAAUGGGCGCAAGCCUGACCGAGCGAGGCCGCGUGGGCGAUGAAGGCCUUCGGGUUGUAAAGCCCUGUCGAGAGGGAGAAAACCGCAAGGUUGAUCUAUCUCUGGAGGAAGCACGGGCUAAGUUCGUGCCAGCAGCCGCGGUAAGACGAACCGUGCGAACGUUGUUCGGAAUCACUGGGCUUAAAGGGCGCGUAGGCGGGCCGCCAAGUCCGGGGUGAAAUCCUCCAGCUCAACUGGAGAACUGCCUCGGAUACUGGAGGUCUAGAGGGAGACAGGGGCACGCGGAACUGUGGGUGGAGCGGUGAAAUGCGUUGAUAUCCAUAGGAACUCCGGUGGCGAAGGCGGCGUGCUGGAUCUCUUCUGACGCUGAGGCGCGAAAGCCAGGGGAUCAAACGGGAUUAGAUACCCGCGUAGUCC
This 431-nucleotide ribosomal RNA is filed under the name uncultured bacterium. RNAcentral describes it as "bacterial SSU rRNA". It matches the Rfam family "Bacterial small subunit ribosomal RNA", at positions 355 to 796 of the family's 1533-position model. The record is from RNAcentral.